GAUGAGAACGCAGCGAAAUGCGAUAAGUAGUGUGAAUUGCAGAAUUCAGUGAAUCAUCGAAUCUUUGAACGCACAUUGCGCCCCUUGGUAUUCCAUGGGGCAUGCCUGUUCGAGCGUCAUUUGUACCUUCAAGCUUUGCUUGGUGUUGGGUGUUUGUCCCGAGGGACUCGCCUUAAAGUAAUUGGCAGCCAGUGUUUGGUUUUGAAGCGCAGCACAAGUCGCGAUUCAAGGCUACACGCCCGCUUCCACAAGCCUUUUUUCACUUUUGACCUCGGAUCAGGUAGGGAUACCCGCUGAACUUAAGCAUAUCAAUAAGCGGAGGA
This 323-nucleotide unclassified non-coding RNA is filed under the name soil metagenome. RNAcentral describes it as "partial contains 5.8S ribosomal RNA, internal transcribed spacer 2, and large subunit ribosomal RNA". The stretch from base 5 to 119 matches the Rfam family "5.8S ribosomal RNA", at positions 40 to 154 of the family's 154-position model. The record is from RNAcentral.